GCUUACCAUGCAAGNNNNNNNGAGAACGGUACUAGCUUGCUAGUAUGUCCGCUAAGUGGCGGACGGGUGAGUAAUGUAUAGUUAAUUUGCCCCUUGGAGAGGGAUAGCCACUGGAAACGGUGAUUAAUACCUCAUACUCCUUCUCUCUUAAUGAGAGUUGGGAAAUGUUUUUUCGCCAAGGGAUAAGACUAUAUGGUAUCAGGUAGUUGGUGGGGUAAGAGCCUACCAAGCCAAUGACGCCUAGCUGGUCUGAGAGGAUGAUCAGCCACACUGGAACUGAGACACGGUCCAGACUCCUACGGGAGGCAGCAGUGGGGAAUAUUGCACAAUGGAGGAAACUCUGAUGCAGCAACGCCGCGUGGAGGAUGACGCAUUUCGGUGUGUAAACUCCUUUUAUAUGGGGAAGAUAAUGACNGUACCAUAUGAAUAAGCACCGGCUAACUCCGUGCCAGCAGCCCCGGUAAUACGGAGGGGGCAAGCGUUACUNGGAAUCNCUGGGCGUAAAGCGCGCCCAGGCGGUUUGANAANUUUGAAUGUGAAAGCCUAUGGCU
RNAcentral lists this ribosomal RNA (551 nucleotides) under uncultured bacterium. RNAcentral's name for it is "partial 16S ribosomal RNA". It matches the Rfam family "Bacterial small subunit ribosomal RNA", at positions 46 to 609 of the family's 1533-position model. The record is from RNAcentral.